RNAcentral lists this ribosomal RNA (1446 nucleotides) under uncultured organism. RNAcentral describes it as "SSU rRNA". It matches the Rfam family "Bacterial small subunit ribosomal RNA". The record is from RNAcentral.
CUACAGGCUUAACACAUGCAAGUCGAGGGGCAGCAUGGUCUUAGCUUGCUAAGGCCGAUGGCGACCGGCGCACGGGUGAGUAACACGUAUCCAACCUGCCGUCUACUCUUGGACAGCCUUCUGAAAGGAAGAUUAAUACAAGAUGGCAUCAUGAGUCCGCAUGUUCACAUGAUUAAAGGUAUUCCGGUAGACGAUGGGGAUGCGUUCCAUUAGAUAGUAGGCGGGGUAACGGCCCACCUAGUCUUCGAUGGAUAGGGGUUCUGAGAGGAAGGUCCCCCACAUUGGAACUGAGACACGGUCCAAACUCCUACGGGAGGCAGCAGUGAGGAAUAUUGGUCAAUGGGCGAGAGCCUGAACCAGCCAAGUAGCGUGAAGGAUGACUGCCCUAUGGGUUGUAAACUUCUUUUAUAAAGGAAUAAAGUCGGGUAUGCAUACCCGUUUGCAUGUACUUUAUGAAUAAGGAUCGGCUAACUCCGUGCCAGCAGCCGCGGUAAUACGGAGGAUCCGAGCGUUAUCCGGAUUUAUUGGGUUUAAAGGGAGCGUAGAUGGAUGUUUAAGUCAGUUGUGAAAGUUUGCGGCUCAACCGUAAAAUUGCAGUUGAUACUGGAUAUCUUGAGUGCAGUUGAGGCAGGCGGAAUUCGUGGUGUAGCGGUGAAAUGCUUAGAUAUCACGAAGAACUCCGAUUGCGAAGGCAGCCUGCUAAGCUGCAACUGACAUUGAGGCUCGAAAGUGUGGGUAUCAAACAGGAUUAGAUACCCUGGUAGUCCACACGGUAAACGAUGAAUACUCGCUGUUUGCGAUAUACAGCAAGCGGCCAAGCGAAAGCGUUAAGUAUUCCACCUGGGGAGUACGCCGGCAACGGUGAAACUCAAAGGAAUUGACGGGGGCCCGCACAAGCGGAGGAACAUGUGGUUUAAUUCGAUGAUACGCGAGGAACCUUACCCGGGCUUAAAUUGCAGAUGAAUUACGGUGAAAGCCGUAAGCCGCAAGGCAUCUGUGAAGGUGCUGCAUGGUUGUCGUCAGCUCGUGCCGUGAGGUGUCGGCUUAAGUGCCAUAACGAGCGCAACCCUUGUUGUCAGUUACUAGCAGGUUCUGCUGAGGACUCUGACAAGACUGCCAUCGUAAGAUGUGAGGAAGGUGGGGAUGACGUCAAAUCAGCACGGCCCUUACGUCCGGGGCUACACACGUGUUACAAUGGGGGGUACAGAGGGCCGCUACCACGCGAGUGGAUGCCAAUCCCCAAAACCUCUCUCAGUUCGGACUGGAGUCUGCAACCCGACUCCACGAAGCUGGAUUCGCUAGUAAUCGCGCAUCAGCCACGGCGCGGUGAAUACGUUCCCGGGCCUUGUACACACCGCCCGUCAAGCCAUGGGAGCCGGGGGUACCUGAAGUGCGUAACCGCGAGGAGCGCCCUAGGGUAAAACUGGUGACUGGGGCUAAGUCGUA